Molecule: ribosomal RNA, 496 nt
Filed under: uncultured bacterium
Lineage: Bacteria
Description: bacterial SSU rRNA
Rfam family: Bacterial small subunit ribosomal RNA
Source: RNAcentral
GCAGGCGGUUAUGUAAGACAGAUGUGAAAUGCCCGGGCUUAACCUGGGAACUGCAUUUGUGACUGCAUGGCUAGAGUUUGGCAGAGGGGGGGUAGAAUUCCACGUGUAGCAGUGAAAUGCGUAGAUAUGUGGAGGAACACCGAUGGCGAAGGCAGCCCCCUGGGUCAAGACUGACGCUCAUGCACGAAAGCGUGGGGAGCAAACAGGAUUAGAUACCCUGGUAGUCCACGCCCUAAACGAUGUCUACUAGUUGUCGGGUCUUAAUUGACUUGGUAACGCAGCUAACGCGUGAAGUAGACCGCCUGGGGAGUACGGUCGCAAGAUUAAAACUCAAAGGAAUUGACGGGGACCCGCACAAGCGGUGGAUGAUGUGGAUUAAUUCGAUGCAACGCGAAAAACCUUACCUACCCUUGACAUGGCUGGAAUCCCUGAGAGAUUGGGGAGUGCUCGAAAGAGAACCAGUACACAGGUGCUGCAUGGCUGUCGUCAGCUCGUG